This 1515-nucleotide unclassified non-coding RNA is filed under the name Octopus sinensis (East Asian common octopus). Its description in RNAcentral is "zinc finger protein OZF-like, transcript variant X2". The record is from RNAcentral. Lineage: Eukaryota; Metazoa; Mollusca; Cephalopoda; Octopoda; Octopodidae.
AUAGUCACAAAGAUAACAGUUGAUGCAGGUAUUGCAUUAGAACAGUUUUCAUCAGUGCAGUAAAGGGGAAAAUAUAUAACUGUUGUGUGACAAAAAAAAAUAAGAAGAAUGGAUUUUUCUGAAAAAUUGCCAAAGAAGGAGGAAAAAUCAUCACACUCGUGUGAUAUCUGUCAUAAGACAUUUUCUCUGAAGGGUAACCUUACCCAUCAUAAACUGAUUCACAGAAAGAGGCCACAUUAUUGUGAUACCUGUGGUAAAUCUUUCUCUCAAAUGCAUUUAUUAACCACCCACCAACGCAUUCACACUGAAGAGAAACCAUACGAAUGUCAUAUUUGUGCCAAAUCAUUCGCAGUAAAAAAUAGCUUAAUCAAACACAUAGAUAUUCAUACAGGUGAAAAGCCAUAUCACUGUGAUAUCUGUGGUAAGUCAUUCUUGCGUAAGCAUUCCUUGGUUGUUCACAAACAUGUCCAUACUGGAGAAAAGCCACAUGCCUGUGACAUCUGUGGUAAAUCUUUCUCUCGAGUACAUCAUUUGAUUACUCACAAGAAUUUCCAUAUAGGUGAAAGACCAUAUAGAUGUAAUAUCUGUGGUCAGUCGUUCAUUUUGAAAAGUCACUUAAAUGGUCACAAACGUACUCACACAGGUGAAAAACCAUAUCACUGUGAUAUCUGUGGUAAAUCAUUCUCCCAGACGAACGGCCUAACCAGUCACAUUCGUAUUCAUACAGGUGAGAAACCCUUUCAGUGUAAUAUUUGUGGUGAGUCAUUCUCUGAAAGGGGCAAUUUAGCUAAACACAAAUACCUUCAUACGGGGGAGAAGUCUUAUCACUGUGAUAUCUGUGGAAGAGCAUUCUUUCAAAAAGUACACUUAAAUUCUCACCUACGUAUUCAUACUGGAGAGAGACCGUAUCCCUGUAAAAUCUGUGAUAAAUCUUUCAGUAACAGAAGCACAUUAACUGUUCACAAACGUGUUCAUACAGGAGAAAAACCAUAUCACUGUAAUAUCUGUGAUAAAUCAUUCUCUGUAAGAAGUGCUUUAACUACUCACGAAUGCAUUUGUUACAGGUAAAAAAUCACACUUGUCAUGUCUGUAGCUAAUCAUUUUCUGAAAAUAGUGAUUUAAUUAAACACAGAUAUAUUCAUUGUAAAGCAAAGCUAUAUCACAGUUAUACCUGUGGAAGGAAAUUCUUUGUAAUAAAUGACUCAUCUAAGUAUAAAGAUACAUUUUGUGAAGUGGGUGGUAAAUGAACAGAGACAUCAGCACUCUAAUGUUGUCAGCGACAUGACAACUUCUUCAAUUCUGGUUCCACAAUAAAAUAUGUCCAGUACAAUGUAGGCAGUCAUUAAAACCAUCCAACAAAAAUGGAAAAUAGAAGUGAAGUGUUUUUCCUGACUCAUUGAGGAUUUUGAAUGAAGCUUUCCUUUUUGUUGUGGUAGCAUUAAUUAUUAAUUUAUUAAAUAUAUUGUAUUGGUUAUUGAUUGAUUAGCUAUUAUUAAAAUUACUUGUGUUUUAACA